Molecule: microRNA, 24 nt
Filed under: Mus musculus (house mouse)
Lineage: Eukaryota; Metazoa; Chordata; Mammalia; Rodentia; Muridae
Description: mature star microRNA mmu-mir-805*
Source: RNAcentral
AUUAUAUGUCUUUCAAGUUCUUAG